Molecule: ribosomal RNA, 446 nt
Filed under: uncultured bacterium
Lineage: Bacteria
Description: partial 16S ribosomal RNA
Rfam family: Bacterial small subunit ribosomal RNA
Source: RNAcentral
CCUACGGGUGGCUGCAGUCGAGAAUCAUUCACAAUGGGGGAAACCCUGAUGGUGCGACGCCGCGUGGGGGAAUGAAGGUCUUCGGAUUGUAAACCCCUGUCAUGUGGGAGCAAAUUAAAAAGAUAGUACCACAAGAGGAAGAGACGGCUAACUCUGUGCCAGCAGCCGCGGUAAUACAGAGGUCUCAAGCGUUGUUCGGAAUCACUGGGGGUAAAGGGUGCGUAGGCGGUUUCGUAAGUCGGGUGUGAAAGGCGGGGGCUCAACCCGAAGACGGCACAUGAUACUGGGAGACUAGAGUAAAGGUGAGGGAAGCGGAAUUCGCGGUGUAGCAGUGAAAUGCGUAGAUAUCAAGAAGAACUCUGAUGGCGAAGGCAGGUUACUAGACUGUAACUGACACUGAGGCUCGAAAGCGAGGGGAGCAAAAAGGAUUAGAUACCCUUGUAGUC